CAGCCGCCGCGGUAAUACGUAGGUGGCAAGCGUUGUCCGGAAUUAUUGGGCGUAAAGCGCGCGCAGGCGGUCCUUUAAGUCUGAUGUGAAAUCCCACGGCUCAACCGUGGAAGGUCAUUGGAAACUGGGGGACUUGAGUACAGAAGAGGAAAGCGGAAUUCCAAGUGUAGCGGUGAAAUGCGUAGAGAUUUGGAGGAACACCAGUGGCGAAGGCGGCUUUCUGGUCUGUAACUGACGCUGAGGCGCGAAAGCGUGGGGAGCAAACAGG
Molecule: ribosomal RNA, 268 nt
Filed under: uncultured prokaryote
Description: partial 16S ribosomal RNA
Rfam family: Bacterial small subunit ribosomal RNA
Source: RNAcentral